GCGGGUAUGGCGGAAUUGGUAGACGCGCUAGAUUUAGGUUCUAGUGUCAAAAGACAUAGGGGUUCAAGUCCCUUUACCCGUACCA
Molecule: transfer RNA, 85 nt
Filed under: Rickettsiales bacterium
Lineage: Bacteria; Pseudomonadati; Pseudomonadota; Alphaproteobacteria; Rickettsiales
Description: tRNA-Leu
Rfam family: tRNA
About the family: Transfer RNA (tRNA) molecules are approximately 80 nucleotides in length. Their secondary structure includes four short double-helical elements and three loops (D, anti-codon, and T loops).
Source: RNAcentral